AAAUAAGAAGCGAAAAAUUGCAAUCAGUUUCGACCUGAAAUUUGGUAUUAAUUACCCUUAUUUA
RNAcentral lists this transfer RNA (64 nucleotides) under Kamimuria wangi. RNAcentral describes it as "tRNA-Arg". Lineage: Eukaryota; Metazoa; Arthropoda; Insecta; Plecoptera; Perlidae. The record is from RNAcentral.